CGGCUACCACAUCUAAGGAUGGCAGCAGGCGCGUAAAUUACCCAAUGCUAACACAGUGAGGUAGUGACAAGAAAUACCAUUUGGUGGAAUUUUCUGCCUUUUGGAAUGAGCGGGUGUUAAAUCUGCCCGCGAGUAUCAAUUGGAGGGCAAGUCUGGUGCCAGCAGCCGCGGUAAUUCCAGCUCCAAUAGCGUAUAUUAAAGUUGUUGCGGUUAAAAAGCUCGUAGUCGGAAAUCGGGCGCAAGGUUCUCUACUCACGUGGAGUUACCUACGCUCUAUGAUAUUUCAUGAUACUUUGAGGAAAACAGAGUGCUCAAAAUGUGCUCUCGCUCAAAUGUCGCAGCAUGGAAUAUCAACAAUGACUCGUUGGGCUACCAGCGCCCAUCGAGUAAUGCUAAAAGGGAGCAGUCGGGGCUGUCCGAAUUAAGCAGAUAGAGGUGAAAUCCUUGGACCUGCUUAAGACGAUCAAAAGCGAAAGCAUUCAGCAAGGCUGUCUCCAUCGAUCAAGAACGAAAGUUAGGGGAUCGAAGACGAUCAGAUACCGUCGUAGUCUUAACCAUAAACGAUGCCGACUUAGCUUUAGACUCGUCAACGAACGGGUUUGGGGCUGUAGAGAAAUCAAAGUUCUUGGGCUCCGGGGGGAGUAUGGUCGCAAGGCUGAAACUUAAAGGAAUUGACGGCGAAGCACCACAAGGUGUGGAGCCUGCGGCUUAAUUUGACCCAACACGGGAAAACUCACCAGGUCAAGACACGCGGAGGAGUGACAGACUGAAAGCUCUUUCUCGAUUGCGUGAUAGGUGGUGCAUGGCCGUUCUUAGUUGGUGGAGUGAUCUGUCUGGUUAAUUCCGAUAACGAACGAGACCUCAGCCUACUAAAUAAACGUCUAGUCUCAACUAGUAUGUUUUCUUAGAGGGACUUCCUGUGCAAGCAGGCGGAAGACUGAGGCAAUAGCAGGUCUGUGAUGCCCUUAGAUGUCCUGGGCCGCACGCGCGCUACACUGGCACGAACAACGGGUCUCUGAAACCGAUACGUCCAAGUAACCCCUAAUUCGUGUCGUGCUUGGGAUUGGACAUUGUAAUUAUUGUCCAUGAACGAGGAAUACCUAGUAGGCAUGGGUCAUCAACUCAUGCCGACUAUGUCACUGCUUCGUGUACACACCGCCCGUCGCUCCUACCGAUUGAAUCAAUUGGUGAAUGUCACAGACUCUGCUCACGUGGAGGAAGUGACGUGAAUCACAUGAUUUAGAGGAAGGAGAAGUCGUAACAAGGUC
This 1268-nucleotide ribosomal RNA is filed under the name metagenome. RNAcentral's name for it is "SSU rRNA". It matches the Rfam family "Eukaryotic small subunit ribosomal RNA", at positions 404 to 1801 of the family's 1831-position model. The record is from RNAcentral.